AUAGCUUCUCAGCCUUUUGGCUAAGAUCAAGUGUACUAUCUGUUCUUAACAGUUCAAUAUCUGAUACAUCCUCUAUCCGAGGACAAUAUAUUAAAUGGAUUUUUGGAGCAGGGAGUUGGAAUAGGAACUUGUUCCUUCCACUCCACACAUAGAUCUGGUAUUGCAGCACCUCCAGUCAUAGUGCACAAGAA
Molecule: small nuclear RNA, 191 nt
Organism: Sorex fumeus (smoky shrew)
Lineage: Eukaryota; Metazoa; Chordata; Mammalia; Eulipotyphla; Soricidae
Product: U2 spliceosomal RNA
Exons: 1
Source: RefSeq, a predicted model, not a curated record